RNAcentral lists this ribosomal RNA (467 nucleotides) under uncultured bacterium. RNAcentral describes it as "partial 16S ribosomal RNA". It matches the Rfam family "Bacterial small subunit ribosomal RNA", at positions 28 to 506 of the family's 1533-position model. The record is from RNAcentral.
GACGAACGCUGGCGGCGUGCUUAACACAUGCAAGUCGAACGGAAAGGCCCUGCUUUUGUGGGGUGCUCGAGUGGCGAACGGGUGAGUAACACGUGAGUAACCUGCCCUUGACUUUGGGAUAACUUCAGGAAACUGGGGCUAAUACCGGAUAGGAGCUCCUGCUGCAUGGUGGGGGUUGGAAAGUUUCGGCGGUUGGGGAUGGACUCGCGGCUUAUCAGCUUGUUGGUGGGGUAGUGGCUUACCAAGGCUUUGACGGGUAGCCGGCCUGAGAGGGUGACCGGCCACAUUGGGACUGAGAUACGGCCCAGACUCCUACGGGAGGCAGGAGUGGGGAAUAUGGCACAAUGGGCGGAAGCCUGAUGCAGCAACGCCGCGUGCGGGAUGACGGCCUUCGGGUUGUAAACCGCUUUCGCCUGUGACGAAGCGUGAGUGACGGUAAUGGGUAAAGAAGCACCGGCUAACUACGU